UCCAGACUCCUACGGGAGGCAGCAGUGGGGAAUAUUGCACAAUGGGGGGAACCCUGAUGCAGCGACGCCGCGUGGGUGAAGGAGCACCUCGGUGCGUAAAGCCCUAUCGGCAGGGAAGAAAAAGACGGGAACUGACUAAGAAGCCCCGGCUAAAUACGUGCCAGCAGCCGCGGGAAUAAGGAGGGGGCAAGCGUUAUCCGGAUUCACUGGGUGUAAAGGGAGCGUAGACGGCGACGCAAGUCUGGAGUGAAAGCCCGGGGCCCCACCCCGGGACUGCUCUGGAAACUGCGGCGCUGGAGUACGGGAGGGGCAGGCGGAAUUCCUGGUGUAGCGGUGAAAUGCGUAGAUAUCAGGAGGAACACCGGUGGCGAAGGCGGCCUGCUGGACUGCGACUGACGUUGAGGCCC
This 407-nucleotide ribosomal RNA is filed under the name uncultured bacterium. RNAcentral describes it as "partial 16S ribosomal RNA". It matches the Rfam family "Bacterial small subunit ribosomal RNA", at positions 330 to 754 of the family's 1533-position model. The record is from RNAcentral.